CCUGUCUUCUUGCUCCUAAUUUGUCACAUAACAUCGUCCAGGACUGGGCUCUUAUGUCUACAGGUCACGUGAAUUUCCUUGUCAGAAUUUCCUGUCAGUUGUGCUUGGAUCCUGGAAAUUACUUCAAUUUACAUCCUGUUCUCAGAAAAGAGAUUACCCAGAACUUUUAAAACUCGGAUUCAUACAAUUACGGUGAUAGGCAACUGCGGCUAUUGAAUGGCAGACAAGGUGCUUUUCUCCUGUGUCAGCUGCAUGAGAGGAGCUCAGAGCUCUACAGUCUGUACGUUGUUGUGAAGUAUGUAUGGAGUUUGCCUCUAGUUCGAUGCAUGAAGAUGAAUGUAAACAAAGAUUGAGAUCUGACUGUGCCUGGGAGCGGAUUUUAUCUUUAUAGGAUAGAAAAUCAGUAAAACCUUAUCAGUGAGCAGCUAACUAAUCCUUGCUUCGAGGGAGGCAACUGGAAAUGGGUGGUUGUGCUUCGUAGGUAUUUUAAGGCACAUAUCGCACUGUUGUGUACUGUGAGAAUGAAUACAAGGCUUAUGUCAUUGUGAAAAAAGACUUAAAAACACUCAUCCAAAACCAGCUUCUGUCAGUCAGUGGUGUUCGGAGCAGGCACCCGGCUGCCUGCAGUGCUGCCGGCCAUACCAAUCAGCUGGCAGGGUGAGAUAGGAUCUUCUCCCGUUCUAGAACUGAAAGGAAAGGUGAUGUGUAGUGCACUGAGCACAUCUGGUUGGUCAGCGUGAAGGAUGCAAAGCUGUAUGUGUCUAAAUGUGAAAAGUUCUGGUCUCCGUGUUCAGUUUGUUAACAGGGAGUCAAACUCUAGACGUCUGUUUGAGUUAAUUGGUGGUACUUGGAUCAAAGGCUUGUUUUUUACUUUAUAGGAUAUUUGAAGUUACAUAAUCUGUACAGCAAGCUACCCUCUGGUGAAGAAAGACAUCAGUCAUUUGUAUCUCUUGAAUUUUUCCUGGUCAUAGUAUAAACGCAGCAAAAAUUAGUAUCAAGCUAUGUUCAAUGUUUUCUCAGGCAAAUAAUAUUGCUAAUGACUUCUUCAGUGAACGUACUGAUUAAGCAAAUAGCCAUAGGGAAGUCUCAAAAUGAAUUCUGUGGUUCUGUGCCUUUAUGUAUGUUGAGUCCAAAUGUCUUGGAAACAUUGUCUUUUCUUAUAAUUAUGCUAUUUUAGGGGCAUAUUGUUCAAAUAUGUGUUCUGUAUUCACAAACACGGGGAUGUUCUUGCUUCAAGGAGUUGUGCUGAGAAAAUGAAGAAAGCAUUAAUUUGAAUGCUGGCAGAUCCAGUUUGAGUCUUGUGGAUCCAGCAGAGCAGUGAGCACUGCCAAGGUCACAGGGGUAGAGACUUGGCUGGGGAAAAUGGUGUCUGCUUCUGUUAUCCAUGGAUUUUCCUUGCGUUGAAUGCCCUUGGGGAACUGGUCGGCUCUAAGCAAGUGUGCAGCACUGGGUGCUUCACUCACAUCUGCUAUUUGUAACUCUAUGGGAUCUUCAGUAUUCCUUCAGAAUUGUUUCUAGCCUUUCCCCGCUAAGAUUUCUUUUUUUUUAGUUCACUUGUAUUUACAAGUAUUAAGCACAAUGUAGGUGCUAAGAAAUUAAAUUGACAUCAUGUUUCAAAAAGUAUUGAUAUUCUCAAGGGUAUUUAGUAAUCUCUAACAGGAUUCUUGUUUCCUGAUCUGCUACAAACAGAUGUUUCUGUCCUUUUGUGGUGGGGGAGGGUAAAUUCAGUAACAUGGUAGCAGUGGGAAGCACUGCGGUAGGAAUUCACCUUCCUAUGAGAGAACUGCUUUUACCCUGUUGGCCUGGGUAAUUUGCUAUAAUGUGUUUUCUUAGUUAGGUUUCCAUAGCAGAAGAGCAAUAAUGGAACUUGGUGCUACUCUGUUAGUCCUGUUGUCCCUCUCGCCUAACUAAAUAUACUAAAUGCUGACUUGCUAAAAAUAGAAAUUAUGCAAAAGUAGGCAGCUUCAUUGAUUUGUAGCUUCCUUGUGUUCCUCUCCAUUACCUUCUGCAUUGAAGAUCUUUCUUGGAGGCUUCCUUGCAAAAUACUUCCCUUUACCCCUGCUCAACCAGGCAGUAAUUAGUUUUCAGCUCACAGUCCUGUGGGACUGCAUGGCCUGUUCUUGCCUGGUUUGAAUGGGGUCCAGUAGCAGCGUCUUUCCCUCUGCCCUACUAGGUCAGCAGUCUUUUAAGAAAUGGUCCAAUUUCUUUACUCGCACUGAGUGGAAAUGAGUGUGCUCUACCACUCUGGAGAAGAUCUGAUUGUCCAAAUUGAACUUAAAUCCUUACAUGUUUUUAAGUGCAUUUUCCACGUGAAUGUAUAUUUUUCAUAAUGGGUAUUUGCACAGUGGGAUAACAGCAGCCACAGUGGGAACUAAUAUGGAAUUACUAUACUUCAGAUUAAUACUUGAUUUGGUCUUCUAGCAGGCUUUCUUUAGAAAUGAAUCUGUAGAGCAGGACUUGCAAUGGAUAGAUUCUCCUUGGCAAAAUUGAAGUAAGUGUGGAAACAUGAUUGUCUUCAGUCAUGCUGUGUAGGGUUAAGUUGUCUGUAGCAGAACAUAACAGUUCAAAUUACUGAGACUGCAGAACUCAAGGAGAAGUAACUCUAAAAAGGUGGUACUUGACUGCGUUAUCAAACAAUUAGUCAUGUGUAAUUAAUACGGGAUCAGAACAGCACCUGGGGCUAAGCAUGCCAAGUUAUUGUUUAUCUGAACAAUUUCCAAGGCUUGUAAUAAAUCUGUAAUUCAUGUUCACUUUUGAUGGCUGGCUCCCCCACAAUUCUAUCUGGGAGAAGGCCAGGUCGUGUUAACUCUUUUGGCACGGGAUGCUUCUUGAAAAAAUGGGUCUCACUUGACCCAGCAUUGUUCCUGUGUGUCACUUGGAACAACGUUGUUCUGUGUAACACCAUGUAAGGUAGUUUUCCUGGUGAAGCCUGUGAAUCUGAAUUCCUUGAAAUUGUAUUUCUAGUGGGUAUUAAGAUCUUGAAGCCAAGCGUGGAGGCAUGGCUUUCUGACAAAAGAAUUUGUGUUUCCUUGAGAACUGAGAUUGAGUUGUGGAAGGUGAUUGGCCAUCCUCUGCAGGAUAAGCCCCUCUGUGAAUAACAGGGUUACGAUGGAGAGGAAAUUCCUGGAGGGUUAUCUCAUGAGAGAAUUAAGUGGGCUUCAUUUUGUUUGUUUUGUUUGACUCCUUUGAAUGAUGUGGAGUGGAUUAAUGCUCCCCAAACAGGGAGUAUUUAGCUAAAGGAAAUGGGAAAGGUUCGCUGUUUAUAAACAGCAUAGCAGUGACUGGAACCUAGAGUACGUUCUAUCAGAAGUGGAUGAGAUGCUGUAGAUGCAGUCUGUAGUACGGCUGUGUACGUUUCCUAGUUGUGCUAUUGUAGUUGUGUUGGGGGAGGUUAGAGGGUAGAUGUCCCCUAGAGCUGCUAAGGAAACAGCUGAGGUUCAGUUAGGGGAUCUACCUGUGAAAGCACCUUGUCAGUACGUAACUGAAAAUUUCAUUUGUUGUACACAACUUGCACCCACUGACUGUCCAGUUCUGUUUCUUAUGUGGUGAGGCUGAAAAAUAAGUAUUGCUUAAUUGGAGCAUGAAAUAUCGUCUUGUUGGGGGGGCAAUAGAAAGUUCUUGACUUUAUAUCUGAAUUCUGUUUAUCAGAGUUUUGUUUACACUAUGGUCAGCAGCAGAUCUUUGGUUGUCUGGAAGGAUGAUAUUUGCAGUGUCACCUUGUGGGGUCCAUAACCAAGGAGCCGUGUUAUUUCUAAGUUCUGCCUACCACCGGCUUCUUCCAAUACAGUCACUUGGCUGAGCAUUGCCUUUGCCAUUCGGUAUUUCAUAGACCUCACUGAAACAAAACGGAUUUUCACUCCUUUUUUGCCUCUGCCUUCCCCAGCAGUGAGAAUCUUAGCACAAAAGCUGAGGUGUCUGGACUCUCCAAGUGACUGCUGUGAAACCUAGUGUUCCAUGACUAAGGCUUACUCACAGAGUUGUCUCAUCAGGACUUACUGAAUAGCUGUAUUUGAAGAUUGCAAUUAAAAAUGAAGAUGAUGCAAUCAGACCCAGCCUCUGAAAGAACCAUCAUAGGAACUUAGGUGUGCUGCUGAAAUUGCAGCUGUAUGUUUUUAUGUAUCUGUAAUGCUCGCUCAUCUGCUUGUUGCUGCUUUCUGUAAUGGAGCUGAAGGCAACGAAUGGGGAGAAGGAAGAAAAUCAUAAUAAAUUUGAAUUUUAAGGCAAACAAGGAAUAGUUUGAAGGACAAAGUUCUACAAAAUUCUAGCUUGUAAGACUCCAGUGCAAACUGGACACACUUCAGAACCUGCUCCAGGCACUUAAAAUGAAAAGUGUGCAAAAGUUCAGGUGGGAAAUAAUCCCUGACAUUGGCCUGCUGAGACUAUGGUUAAAGUCCAGAAAGAGAGAAUAAAACAUGUUGGAAUGUGUCUACUGCUUAUCCUUUCUUGUUCUGCGUUUGGAAAUCAUGAGAAUAAUCACAGUUGCUGGUUAGAUGAUCCUCCUCAAUUAUAAUAUUUAUCUGAAAAAUAUUCCCAGGUAGGUAGGGAAGGGCAGUAUCCUAAGUAUGAGGAUGGUUUAGCAAGCUGCUUCCUCUGAAAUUCCUCUCUAUUUAUUUAUUUUUUAAGUAUUGCCUAGACAGCCAACAAAGCAAGUCUAACCCAAAGUCAUUGGUUGUGUUGGUGUAGCUGGUAGUUUAGGUAGGACCUAGAUGGGAUGCAGGUGAAUGAAGGGCUCACCUUUCUGAGAGUGUUCUGUGCUGUUUCAAGGACUGGAGGCCCUGAGCUCAGUGCUCAUAGUUGUGCAUGGGCUGAUAGUUUAAGUUAGUUCAAAAGGUGAUAACAAUUUCUGUAAAAUGUAGAAAAGACACACGCUGGCAUAUGGCAGCUCCUGUUGUCUUUCUCUCCAUGGCUGAAGCAUUAAGUGGGGUGGUCAGAAGUCCUUGUUUUCAGGCUCUACCUUUCCCUUCCAUGUGAGAGGGAGCACCGCUCCAGCAGUGUCCCCCACACCCUGUCUGAUAACAGCCAUGUUUGUAAUGAAGUGUCAGGAAUGUGGCUUUCCUUUGCAUGUAUUUGCUUCCUCAAAUAUCUUUCCUGCCCUCCUGUUUCUGGGGAGGAGCUGAGAUGUGGGUGUUACGUGUUGGGAAGAACUGCAGACAGGAAUGGAAAACGCAUGUGGAUCUCUACUAAAUCCCUUUUCCUUCUACUGCUUUCCAGGUUAAUUCUUCACAUAUGCUAGUCCCAAUGUCUCUACUGCUGUGCUGUUCCCAGGAACCCAUUCUGUAUUCCAGGGUGGUGUUUGCUUAUGUUUGCCAUCCGAGAUACAAGCUGGAGUAAUACAUGCCUUGUUCUGAAUGAAAUCUUGUAGUCCUUGUCUGAUAGCUGCCUGUCAGGAGGAAUUCUGGGGUGAUAGUUGAUGUAGACCAAAGCGUACAUUUCUGUCUUUCAAAAUGAAAGGAAUCUCUUUCCCUUUGAGGUUAUGUAAGUUAGAAUUGAUUCAUCUGAAGUAAAGCGGUGCAAACGUGAAAGGUUUUCUUACUUGUUGCAUUGUCUGCUGUCUGUAAAUGCCUCUUUAUCUCGGGAAGAGUGAACAAUGGUAAGAAGGCACCACUGACAGUCGCUGAGGUCAUUGUUCCUUCAGAAUGGCCAGUGUUCUGGCUCCUGCCUCUUCCCUCCCAGCAUUAUGCGGAUAUCUCCUAAAUGGUUGGCACACCGCUCAUGUGAGCGCUAUCUUUGGCUGUGCAUCCAGCUCCACUGACAUCAGGGUGGGAUUUCUGUGUCACGCUGUGUGUACAUUCUAAUUUGACGUGGAAGCAGAAAGGAAAUGUCUCUUAAACUUCACCUUUAAGUUUUGCAGUGUGCAUUUUGCUAGGCUGAACUUCUAAUUACAUUAAUCCUCUCAUUCACGAUUCUGUUGUAACUUAAAUAGCUAUUGACAAUUAAAAAAAUAAAUGCUUUACAUGAAAGCAGGCAGUCAGGGAAGUCCUGUAUGGGCUUUUUUUUUCCUUUUCUGCAAUCAAAUUGAGAAUUUUUGUGAUACUUUAUAUUUUUCAGUGAUGUUGUUUCCUUCCUUCUCCUGUGUACUUAAAGAGCAUGAAGUCUCCUAGUGGGAACUAGCAGAGAUACGCUUGUUAGUGGAUAACAGCUCUGUGCUGAAGUAAGCAGGCAGUGGUCAUCUGUAUAGCAAAAGGGCUUCACAGGACGGAAUGGAGUAAAUAGUGUGUGGUGAGUUACAAAUGCUGAUGGCUGUUGGGUGAGCUCUGUUGUCAGGUGGGUGUGUGAUGGGAGAGAAACGUGGGUCAAGCAGCGAGUUGGAGCAGCUGGAAUCUACUGCAGUGCUGCUGAGGCUUGUGAGGUAGGCAGGCUGAUGGGAUCCACUGUCCUGUUCCGUUGCCCUCCAUCCCCCCUUUGUUGCUGGAAGACUAGAGCCGCUGGCUGACUUGCUUUGCUGGGAGUAAAAUACUUGGCUUCUGAGUAGCUGGAAGUAAGCAUUUCACUUUUUAUUUAUUUAUUUUUGGUAGAAAAAUACCACUUUCCAAUUCACAGGGAGCCACCAACUUAGCAUGAAUCCAGGUUUUACCUUCUCUACCUUUUAACUCUGAAAUGGGGCCUUCUAUUGAGUAGGUUUAGCUCAUUUUCUGUAUGGGGAAAAGUCAGUUUUCUGUAGGAUGCUCAGCAUUUUGGUCUGUUUUCCUUUAAAAAGGAUGACAAAAAACAGAAGCCACAGAACUCAGUUACUCAAGAGAGCACUGAUGACAGUGUCAGGAGAAAGAAAAAAAAAAAAAAAAAGAAA
This is a non-coding RNA of Coturnix japonica (Japanese quail), 6787 nucleotides long. The record is from RefSeq and is a predicted model, not a curated record. Lineage: Eukaryota; Metazoa; Chordata; Aves; Galliformes; Phasianidae.